This 762-nucleotide long non-coding RNA is filed under the name Fukomys damarensis (Damara mole-rat). RNAcentral describes it as "lncRNA (ENSFDAG00000029952.1)". Lineage: Eukaryota; Metazoa; Chordata; Mammalia; Rodentia; Bathyergidae. The record is from RNAcentral.
CUGUUGCAUUGUGGGUGGAAACGUUACGGCCCUGCGCAUGCUCCUCCUCCUGUCCUCAGAACGCCCGGACUGUGGUAGGUGCUGGAGCUUGUCUUCGAGCGGGAGAGGUCUGACGACUAUGCAGGGCCCUGAUAACGCUCAGGCUGGUCCAGAGGAAGACUAUGGAGAUAAUGGUGUGAGAGGCGGCCCUUCACACCCUAUGUUCCUUGGAGGCGGGGACGGCCCGGGAGCAGAAGGGGCCGAUCAUACUGAACAUCCCCAAGGCCAGCGAGCAGUGCCGGGACCACUGCCAGAUGGAGACGCCUCAGCUGCGGCCUUAAUCACCGAACCGAUGGAAUUGCACCUCAGGUUUCCUUACAGUUACGCGGAGGAUGCAGAGAUUGCUUGCAUGUACCUGGGUCCAGUAGUUCGGUCCCUUCCGGAAGGAAUUUACAGCGAAAUCACCAUAGAUGGCAACCACCUGAAUAUCCUGCUCACUUCGGAAAAUUCCCACCUUGUGGAGUUUGCUACUGCUGCCUGCGACUUGAUCCACCUUCUGUCCAUGGUGUUUCUGGUAUUUGAGGAUUUUGAGACUUAGUUUCUGGACAAGCUUCAGCUAGAAAAUAGGAUUCAAUUUUCUUAAUAUAUCCCCCACCCCCAGGCAGUCCAUCCUACGCUAGAUUAGGGAUUCCUGAAGGCUGCUGUCACCUUCUUUAAUUCUCUGGUCUGCCCUCUGGUGCAUAAAUAUUUGUUCAUGCUCAAAAUAAAAUGAACGGCUCUUCG